CCUCGGGUUGUUACAACUCUCCAAUACUAACAAGAGAUCUCUAUGACGCCCUCGAUUUGAUCAUACGCUAAUCAUACUUGCAAAUGUGUACGACCAAGCUCAAUAAUUCACUGGAAGAUAUCACAGCACAACUCUAAACACAAAUAAAAACAUACACGCUUCAUAUUAAAAGCCAAGGGCCUCGAGGGCUAGAAUACAGAAGCCCGAUAAACACACGAGUCAGCGGAAGCAACAAAUAUAAAGUAAACACAUGAAACAUGAUAAUGCCUUAGAGAAGGUUGGCACAAAAUAUACAGGGAUCGAACAAGGCGAGGACUCCAGCAUGGGAACCUCCUAAACUACUCCUGGUCUUCAGCGGCCUCCACAUAGUAGUAGGCACCGUCGGGGUAGAAGUCGUCGACGACGGGAUAUGCCACCUCCUGGGUUGCAUCGUCUUGUCGCAGUAAUCAAAUCAAGGGGAAAAGGGGGAAUAAAGCAAUGGUGAGUAGUCAUCCAAAGUACUCACAAGACUGACAUCGGAACUAUGCUAAGUUAUGCAUCAGUAUCAAAGGAAGGGGUCAUAUGUGGACUGACUGUAGUGAUGUGAGAAUAGAGAGAGAAGGCCUAGUCCUAUCGAAGACUAGCAUGUUCAGCGUCUUGCAGCAAUAGACGAGAGUAGAGCAAGUAACACAAUUUAUAGUCAUGUUCUUGCGGCAAUAUUAAAUUAAGGUCACGCCCAGAGAUUCUUCCUCAACUCCUUGUGAGGAAGAAAUCCCGGAGCAAACAUUCUACUUAAGUAAUAGUUGUAGUUGUAUAAGAUCGGGGCACAACUCCAAGUCGUCCUAUAACCAUGAACACGACUAUUCGUUAGUUAAAUUUCUUACCUACAGGGGUGCACCAAGUUCCCCGUCACGCUUGAUAAACUCUGGCUGGACACAUUUUCCUGGGUCAUUCCCGGCCACGGAACAUCAACACGUCGCAGCCCCACCUAGGGUCAACAGAGAGGCCACCCCGCCAGUAUAAUUCUAAGUGCGCACGGGUCAUGGGCCCAUCACCCUUUGCGGUCUUGCACUAUGCGAGUCCGGCCGAUGUCAAUCCUAGCACCUCUUAUACAAGAAUGAUGCUUAUCCGGGCAACUCGCUCGCGCGCUGCUCCAUUGCUGAAGACUGAAGAACUUUCGCUGAUAAUACGAUGUCGAGAACCCAUAACUCCUCCCAUGUAGACGGUUAGUGCAAAAAGGUCUCCGACCAACCCAGAUCAAAUUCCCAAAUCCUUUGCAUUUUAAUUAACUCAUCGACACAUCCACGUGGGAAUCCACCCGCAACACACCAUUCAUGUUCCCAGUAGCACAGUGAAGUAACUGUGUGGUUGUCACAUUAGAGGGAUCCGAGGUAUCACCCUUGAUGGAUUCCGAACAAUGUAACCAUUAAGGUGUUCAGGGAGGAAUCACCCUCGAUGGACCACACUUGAUGGGUUGUAUGGCAGCGUCGUUAUUGGAGGUGGUGAAGGAGGAAUCACCCACCGAGAACCACCGCCGAUCAACUACACUACAACGCUAACAUCAGAGUACGUAACGAGGUGUCACCCUCGGUACUCGAUAGUAGCUCUGCAGCGCCUUACAACUAAGGAGGGUGUGAGUGUUGUGACGGCUCAUGGCUCGUCUAUCAGAUGAUCAAGACUUGAGGAAAAACCAGGGGCAACUGGACAUAGGGAUAUAGGCGGUGACUGAUCCUCCUAUACUAAACAGUUUUAAGGUGCACUAGAAUAAAAUAGUAGUUUAUCAAAAACAGGCUAUACAUCAGAUAUAGGAGCUAACUACAAGAGUAUCAAAAUUCUAAUGCAAGCAUGAGGGAGAAAGAAUAGGGGAAAUAGGAAUGAUCGAAGGGGUUUUGCUUGCCUUGUUGCUCUGCGGCAAAGGGUUGGCCGUCAGGAGGGUAGUCGUACCCGGUAGUAGUGUCUAUCUCGGGGUCUAACGGUAAGAAGAGGGGGAAAGAAACAGUAAAUAUAAACACAGAUGUAACACUAAGCAUGACAUGGCAAUAUGCAGGGCUAGGCAUGCACUAACGCGGCAUUAAACGUUAUAGACGGAUCGGGAAAAUAUGUGACGAUAUUUCUUGGGUCACUGGUUACUACCGGAUAGGCGAAAUGGAUGGAGAAGUUCCACGUUCUCUAUGAUAGAGACGCGUGAUAGACGAACGGAUAGCGUAUCCGGGUUUGUCUCUUUUUUAUGAUCAACUUUCAUGUAUAAAUUAUUUCCAUCCGGAUUACGGAUUGUUUUAUAUAUAUAAAGUGUAAUUGCUAGGUUUACCCAUCUCUGGGUACACAACAGUGUACCACAUAGACUAACACGUGGGUCCAUGGGGUCCUAGUUGACCACUCAAAAUUGACUGGUCAACAUAGGGGUGGGGCCCCCUUGUCAUGGGAACACGUGAAAUCUUAUAGGGUUAAUUAAGUUAAUUAACUAAUCCUUUAACUAAUUAAUUAAUAUAAUUUUAUUUCCGUUUUUUGUGCUUGUUUUUUUAACACGAAACUCGGGGUGAUCAUCUUAGUGGGGGAUUAGCCCCACUAAUUAACACGGCUGACCCCAUCUCGAAGAGAGCCAAGCAGCCUCUCUGGCUCGGCAUGCCCGGCCACAGGGGCACCAGCGGCCUAGGCUAGGAGCAGGCAGCAGCGGGCAUGGCCUACGAUAGUGCGAGCGACCAUCAGGUCACAGCAGCAGCAGAACGCAACGGCGACAGAAGGCAGCGAACAACAUGGGGGCAGGGCAUGUGCACGAGCGGAGCACAGCCAGAGGCUCGCGAGAAUCCACGGGAGGAGAGCUCCAGACGCGAUGGGGGGAGGCGACCACGACGUUAGGAAGAAUGCGGAACUAGGAAAAGGGGCACAGGCUCACCGAGGGAAGGUCAUGGACGGGUCCGACGUGGUCGGGGAUGGCCGGAAUAGUAGGGACCGGUAACUACGUGUGGCGGCCGGGGAAAAGGUGAGGUUGAUGCCCAUGAUGUAGAUGCGCCCAGCUCGAACGUGUGGUUGGGGAGGACGGAUCAGCAGUGCGCCGAGCUCCUGGACAAGCUUCUUGCCAGCGGGGGCGACGGUGGCCGCCGGGUCAACCACGAGCGGCGACGACCGCGUCGGGCGGCUCUCCAGAUUGACGGGGGGGGGGGGGGGGGGNNNN
Molecule: long non-coding RNA, 3151 nt
Filed under: Hordeum vulgare
Lineage: Eukaryota; Viridiplantae; Streptophyta; Magnoliopsida; Poales; Poaceae
Description: long non-coding RNA (HVUL_LNC007515)
Source: RNAcentral